GUCUGUUUGAAGGUAUAAAAAGUUUAGCCUGCCCACUGAUAAUUUUAUUAAAGGGCCGCGGUAUUCUGACUGUGCAAAGGUAGCAUAAUCGUUAGUUUUUUAAUUGGAAUCUUGUAUGAAUGGUUUGACAAAAGAAAAUCUGUCUUUAUAAUUAUUUAUUGAAUUUAACUUUUAAGUGAAAAGGCUUAAAUAAAUUAAAAAGACGAUAAGACCCUAUAAAGCUUAAUAUUAAUUUUUUAUUUGAUCAAAUUUUUGAAUAUAUAAAGAUUUAGUAAAAAGAAUUUAUUUUGUUGGGGUGACAAUGGUAUAAUGAUUAUUAACUGUUAAUUUUUUUAGACAAAAAUAAGUGAAUAAAGAAUGGAAAUAAGUUAUUAUAAAGGAUCCUAUAUUAAAGAUUACGAGUUUAAGUUACUUUAGGGAUAACAGCGUUAUUUUUUUUGAGAGUUCUUAUCGAGAAAAAAGUUUGCGACCUCGAUGUUGAAUUAAAAUAUCUAUAUAAUUGUAGCAGUUAUAUAAGAAGGUCUGUUCGACCUUUAAAUUUUUACAUGAUUUGAGUUCAGACCGGCGUAAGCCAGGUCGGUUUCUAUCUUUUAAUAUUUAAAGAAUUAUUUUAGUACGAAAGGAUUAAAUAAUUAAAAUUAUUUUUAAAAUAUUUGGAUAAA
This 662-nucleotide ribosomal RNA is filed under the name Migmarma lorentzi. Its description in RNAcentral is "Sesarmidae gen. 1 sp. 1 CDS-2020 partial large subunit ribosomal RNA". It matches the Rfam family "Bacterial large subunit ribosomal RNA", at positions 1831 to 2768 of the family's 2925-position model. The record is from RNAcentral. Lineage: Eukaryota; Metazoa; Arthropoda; Malacostraca; Decapoda; Sesarmidae.